Molecule: non-coding RNA, 72 nt
Organism: Trichobilharzia regenti
Lineage: Eukaryota; Metazoa; Platyhelminthes; Trematoda; Strigeidida; Schistosomatidae
Source: Rfam
UCCUCGAUGGUAUAGUGGUGGGUAUCUCCGCCUGUCACGCGGAAGGCAUGGGUUCGAUUCCCGGUCGAUGAG